GUGCUUCUCUAACAGAUCAUGGUAAGCUGAGGAGAAUCCCUUGUUCAGUUUUCUGUCUGUGUUUAAAGUCUUCUCUCUUCUUUGCACGGAACUCCAGUCGUUUCAGGAUGAGGUCUUUACUUUGCUGGAUGCAUUCAUUAGUGAAAUGUGCCAGUUGUUCCCAGAAGGCCUUGUGAAGGUCUGUUAGAAGUUCUUCUUUUUGUCGAACUGAGAGUUUAUUCUUUACAGUUAAAUGGUCCAGAAUAUUUGAUAGCACAUUCAAUCUACACCUGCACUCUUCUGGUAUACAGGAUUUCAGUGAAUCAACCACUUUUACCAUAAGCUCCCAGUUAAAUAACCUUUCCUGAAUGUCCAUUGCCUGCAAAUCCUGAGAUUCAUUUAAUAAGCCUUCCACUGCAAUCAUCCUCUCAGUCAG
This 415-nucleotide long non-coding RNA is filed under the name Gallus gallus (chicken). Lineage: Eukaryota; Metazoa; Chordata; Aves; Galliformes; Phasianidae. The record is from RNAcentral.